Molecule: small nuclear RNA, 76 nt
Filed under: Homo sapiens (human)
Lineage: Eukaryota; Metazoa; Chordata; Mammalia; Primates; Hominidae
Description: partial ncRNA
Source: RNAcentral
AAAUCACUUGAACCCGGAAGGCGGAGGUUGCAGUGAGCUGAGAUCGCACCACUGUACUCCAGGUUGGGCCACAAGA